UAUGUCUAUAUUCUGAAUAGUAAUCAUUCUCGCUAACUAGUACUUAAAGUCAUGUUUUAACCUGUUAAAAUUAUAUUAUCGAAACCAUUAUUUUUAAGGUCUGUCUGAAGAGCCUAGCCUUUUGACUGUUUUGCUCUGGGCAAAAGUGAAAUGUUGCAUUCUUCAAAUCCACUUGCUAUGACUUGAACACUGGAUCACUCUUCAAGCAGAAGAAAUUUUUUGAGAUUAUCUUCAGGUGACUGACCAUUUCAGUAGUCCCUUUACACAGAUGGAUACCUGUGUUAAUGGUGAUAUUAAUUUUUCGACCUCAGGAGAAGACUAUCCUUAUUUUCUCAAUGUCUUUCUUACACCAGGGAUUGGAUCCAAGCUCUGAAGAAGCAUGACUCUUUUGAAGACCUAAAUAGAAUUUGACAUCUAACCUGAGUUCUGUAAAAACCUACCUUACAAACUGCAGUUAAUAGCCCACACAGGCAACUGGAUAAACCAGAACAGGCUUACUAAAUCAAAAAAAAUAUAAAAUUAGAAAGAUUAAAAAUAUGCAAGAUAACAAAAUUUUAUUUUCAGAGGCAAACAUUUUUUACUAAGAAUCGAUGAGUUCUGGAAACAUAGAUGAAACAACUUUUUGGUUAGGUUAAGCACUUUAAGGCAAUAUAGAUAGGACUGUGAAUCAUUUACAUAGUGCAAAUAUUUUUUUCAGGCUAAUCCCAGGUUUUUAUUUUUUCUUUAAGAACUGAUCAGUUAUUCCACUGAAUUAUGCCAAAGUUCUUCUUAAUCCAGCAUUUCCUUAACUUUUCCUCAUAUUACACCUACCUUGUCCCAUUCAGAUCAGUGGUGUUGCCUAAAGAGAGACUGUAGAGGAAAAGAGGCCAAGAUAAGAUAAAGAGAGUAGGUCCUUUAAUCAGCCUACAGGCCCAGGGAAUACACAUAAUGCAUACGUGUCCAUACAGUG
Manacus vitellinus (golden-collared manakin) is the source of this 949-nucleotide long non-coding RNA. Lineage: Eukaryota; Metazoa; Chordata; Aves; Passeriformes; Pipridae. The record is from Ensembl.